Molecule: microRNA precursor, 100 nt
Filed under: Aotus nancymaae (Ma's night monkey)
Lineage: Eukaryota; Metazoa; Chordata; Mammalia; Primates; Aotidae
Description: miRNA (ENSANAG00000010476.1)
Source: RNAcentral
UGAGGCAGGAGAAUUGCUUGAACCCAGGAGAUGGAGGCUGCAGUGAGCCGAGAUCAUGCCACUGCCCUCCAGCCUGGGUGACAGAGCGAGACUCCAUCUC